Molecule: unclassified non-coding RNA, 2452 nt
Filed under: Hevea brasiliensis (rubber tree)
Lineage: Eukaryota; Viridiplantae; Streptophyta; Magnoliopsida; Malpighiales; Euphorbiaceae
Source: RNAcentral
UUUCUCUCUCUUCACUUUCUCCCUUUCUGCUUCUUUUUUUUUUCUCUCCCUGUUAGGGUUUCAGGGGGCGCCGCUUUUGCUUUGUUCGAUCUUCACAAGUUUCAGAUAUAAUAUGGCAAUGGAAGUCACCCAGAUCCUUCUUAAUGCACAGUCAGUUGAUUCAACAGUUCGGAAACAUUCCGAGGAAACUCUGAAACAGUUUCAGGAGCAAAAUCUUCCUGGUUUCUUGUUGUCUCUAUCUGGAGAGCUUGCUAAUGAAGAGAAGCCAGUUGACAGUCGUAAGUUGGCUGGUUUAAUACUUAAAAAUGCCUUGGAUGCCAAGGAACAGCAUAGGAAAUUUGAGCUUGUGCAAAGAUGGCUAUCACUUGAUAUGGCAGUGAAGGCCCAGAUAAAGACAUGUUUAUUACAGACACUCUCUUCUCCUGUGCCUGAUGCUCAUUCAACCGCAUCACAAGUCAUUGCUAAGGUUGCUGGCAUUGAGCUUCCUCAGAAGCAGUGGCCUGAGUUGAUUGGGUCACUCCUUUCAAAUAUUCACCAGGUCCCUGCUCAUGUCAAGCAAGCUACUUUGGAGACACUGGGUUAUUUAUGUGAAGAAGUUUCUCCCGAAGUUGUGGAUCAGGAUCAAGUAAAUAAAAUCCUUACAGCUGUAGUUCAGGGUAUGAACGCUGAAGAAGGAAACAAUGAUGUGAGGCUUGCUGCUACCCGAGCAUUAUAUAAUGCUCUUAGUUUUGCUCAAGCAAACUUCAACAAUGACAUGGAGCGUGACUUUAUAAUGAGAGUUGUAUGUGAGGCUACUCAAUCUCCAGAAGUCAAAAUUCGACAAGCUGCUUUUGAAUGUUUAGUCUCCAUUUCAUCAACAUACUACGAGAAAUUGGCUCCAUACAUCCAAGAUAUUUUUAACAUUACAGCAAAGGCUGUUAAAGAGGAUGUAGAGCCUGUUGCUCUUCAAGCUAUUGAAUUUUGGAGCUCAAUCUGUGAUGAGGAGAUUGAUAUUUUAGAAGAUUUUGGGGGUGAUUUCACUGCAGAUUCUGAUGUUCCCUGCUAUUAUUUCAUCAAGCAGGCUCUCCCUGCUCUUGUACCUAUGCUAUUAGAGACACUUCUUAAACAGGAAGAAGAUCAGGACCAGGAUGAAGGUGCUUGGAAUCUUGCAAUGGCUGGAGGCACUUGCCUUGGUCUGGUGGCCCGGACUGUAGGGGAUGAGAUUGUUCCACUCGUUAUGCCAUUCAUCCAAGAGAACAUUUCAAAGCCUGAUUGGAGACAAAGAGAGGCUGCAACAUAUGCCUUCGGUUCUAUUUUGGAAGGUCCUUCUCCUGACAAGUUGACACCUCUUGUUAAUGUUGCUUUGAACUUCAUGCUUACUGCGUUGACAAAGGAUCCCAAUAGCCAUGUGAAGGAUACGACUGCAUGGACUCUGGGAAGGAUAUUUGAGUUUCUUCAUGGUUCUACAGUGGAGACACCCAUUAUUACUCCUGCAAAUUGCCAGCUGAUAAUCACAGUUCUACUUCAGGCCAUGAAAGAUGCUCCUAACGUUGCUGAAAAAUCCUGUGGUGCUCUCUAUUUCCUUGCUCAAGGCUAUGAGGAUAUGGGUGCAUCAUCUCCCUUGACACCUUUUUUCCAGGAAAUCGUGCAAGCACUUCUUACAGUUACCCACAGAGAAGAUGCUGGUGAGUCGCGACUCAGGACUGCUGCUUAUGAGGCAUUGAAUGAAGUAGUUAGGUGUUCAACGGAUGAAACAGCUCCAAUGGUUUUGCAGCUGGCUCCUAUCAUUAUGACAGAGCUGCACCAGACUCUCGAAGGUCAGAAGCUUUCAUCUGACGAGAGAGAGAAGCAGAGUGAGUUGCAAGGUCUUCUGUGUGGUUGCUUACAGGUCAUUAUUCAGAAAUUGGGGGCUUCAGAGCCAACAAAGUUCGUUUUCAUGCAGUAUGCAGAUCAGAUCAUGAACCUUUUUCUUAGGGUUUUUGCAUGUAGAAAUGCUACGGUGCAUGAGGAAGCCAUGCUUGCCAUUGGAGCCCUAGCCUAUGCAACUGGUCCCGACUUUGCCAAGUACAUGCCUGAAUUUUACAAGUACCUGGAAAUGGGCCUUCAGAAUUUCGAGGAGUACCAAGUGUGUGCUGUUACGGUUGGUGUUGUUGGUGAUGUAUGCAGAGCUUUGGAAGAUAAGAUCCUACCUUACUGUGAUGGUAUAAUGACCCAGCUUCUCAAGGACCUGUCAAGUAACCAGCUGCAUCGAUCUGUAAAGCCUCCAAUAUUUUCAUGCCUUGGUGACAUAGCUUUGGCAAUAGGAGAAAAUUUUGAAAAGUACUUGAUGUAUGCCAUGCCAAUGCUCCAGAGUGCUGCUGAGCUGUCUGCCCACACAUCUGGUGCAGAUGAUGAGAUGGUAGAAUACACAAAUCUUCUGAGGAAUGGAAUCUUGGAGGCUUAUUCAGGGAUAUUUCAGGGCUUCAAGAAUUCC